GAAGGUAUAGCUCAGUUAGAGCACAUGCUUAGCAUGCAUGAGGUCCUGGGUUCAAUCCCCGGUACCUCCA
This 70-nucleotide transfer RNA is filed under the name Camelus ferus (Wild Bactrian camel). It matches the Rfam family "tRNA". Rfam says of the family: Transfer RNA (tRNA) molecules are approximately 80 nucleotides in length. The record is from Rfam by way of RNAcentral. Lineage: Eukaryota; Metazoa; Chordata; Mammalia; Artiodactyla; Camelidae.